GAUGAACGCUGGCGGCGUGCCUAAUACAUGCAAGUCGAGCGAACGGACGAGAAGCUUGCUUCUCUGAUGUUAGCGGCGGACGGGCGAGUAACACGUGGAUAACCUACUUAUAAGACUGGGAUAACUUCGGGAAACCGGAGCUAAUACCGGAUAAUAUUUUGAACCGCAUGGUUCAAAAGUGAAUGACGGUCUUGCCGUCUCUUUUAGAUGGAUCCGCGCUGCAUUAGCUAGUUGGUAAGGUAACGGCUUACCAAGGCAACGAUGCAUAGCCGACCUGAGAGGGUGAUCGGCCACACUGGAACUGAGACACGGUCCAGACUCCUACGGGAGGCAGCGGUAGGGAAUCUUCCGCAAUGGGCGAAAGCCUGACGGAGCAACGCCGCGUGAGUGAUGAAGGUCUUCGGAUCGUAAAACUCUGUUAUUAGGGAAGAACAUAUGUGUAAGUAACUGUGCACAUCUUGACGGUACCUAAUCAGAAAGCCACGGCUAACUUCGUG
This 497-nucleotide ribosomal RNA is filed under the name uncultured bacterium. RNAcentral describes it as "partial 16S ribosomal RNA". It matches the Rfam family "Bacterial small subunit ribosomal RNA", at positions 28 to 507 of the family's 1533-position model. The record is from RNAcentral.